UAAAAUGGUUCCACAUGGUAGAGGUAGAGGAAUAAGAAGAGUUCAGGAGGAUAAACCGGUCGGGUUGGUUCGAUCAAACCUACAGGAAGGAAGAGGACAAGAGGACGGACGACUGGUUGAUGAUCCACGGUUCCAUGAUGAUGUUCUCCGAAGUCCUCCAGGUGGGGAAGACUCCCCUAUCCCGCCCAAUUUCUCUACAGAUGAUCUGCUGCAGCUGCUGGAGGUGGGGCAGGAUAUGCGUAGAAUCACGAGGUCUAUCAAACACCUCUGCUCAACGGAACAAACCUUAAGAGAGGUCGUCGAUGAAAUUCAUGCAAGAAGCUCCCAAGAUCUCAGUUUUGGUAAAAAUGCUGCAAAAGCGUUCAGUCACGUAAGUCAGCUUGAGGUCUGUGGGAUAAAGUUCCGUGAUGUUGUUCUCCGGUGUAUCCAGAACGAUUUCAAGAAUAGAGCGGAGCUAAGAGAGGGAGGAGAAGAAGGUUAUCUGAGAGCAGUUAAUCUACUUUGUGAAGUGUUCCACAAUAUGCGGUUAGCAGAUGGAACAGUUAUAAAUAUCCUUUCAGUACCUAUUCUUGAAUAUUUUUCCUCUUUACUGGCAACCCCUACCCUAGAGGCAGUCUCGCUCAUUGCAACACAAACUCACAUAAUUGGGGAAGAAGUACAACGGAGUAAGCCGGAUAAGUUCCAGGAUUUCUUGCUCCGGAUCCGGAAGCUAAUUGUUGACCCGGAUAUACGGUUGGACGAGCAGGCUCGCUGCGGUCUACUUCAUGUACUAGAAUCCCACCUUCUCAGAUGGCCGAGUGUUCUACCAGAGAAGGUUGGGGACUUCUACUCUAGUAUUCUUGGGGAUAGGGUUCUUUACAGACCAAACCUGUUCCCCAUCCAACCUACUCAUACUAGACCCAACAGUCAGGAUGGGUCACAGGGAGAGGAAGAGUUCCAAGGGCAUAGACAUGAAGAUCAAGGGGUGAAAAGAAAUGAGCAUCUUGGAGACCCUAGAAGAAAUGAGUUUUCAGUAGGUAUGAGAAGAGAUGAUCAAACAGGAUUUGGAAUGGCGAGAGACAAUCAGAUGGGAGGAGGAAUGAGGAGAGAAGAACAUAUGGGAGGAGGUAUGAGGAGGGAGGACCAUGAAAUGAGAAGAAAUGGAUUAGAAGAAAAUCCAGGAAUGAGAAGGAUUGCCCAUGCUGAUCCUAUUCCCGGGACUACAAACUAUUACAGACCCACAAUGAACAAUGGACCUGCUCCAAGAAUAUUUGAUACUCCUCCCCCAAACAUGAUGCGAAACUUUGCUCCACCUCAGGGUGUCCUUCCACCUCAGCAGCAGUCCUGGAACCCUGCACUGCCAACAGGUCGAUCAAGGUUUUCGGAAAAUCCUCAGUUAAAUGGAGUUGAACGCAUUGCAGCAGACAUGAUGGCAAUUCAUAUGCCUUCUAUGUCACAGGUUUCACCACCGGUGAGAACAGGACGAAGCCAUGGUUGGCAAGCAAUGCCGCCUAUUCUUCCUCCCUCUGGUCCACCACCCAAUAUUCCUACAGCAAUUGUUCCACCUGGAGUACCACCUCACAACCGCCCAAUCAGUGGUUACCAGGAUCCAAGUUUAGGUAGAACUGCCUCUGGAAUAUGGAAUACAACCCCGGCAAAUCAUUCCCCCGCCAUCAACCCUCUCCCUACGAGGGAUGUAUUCCAGGCCCGACCUGGGGGCAGAGAACAUUUUGAUAAUGCAGGGUACAAUCGUCCUGGAGGAUCAGGGCGAAUAAUUUCAGGGUCUCGUGGAGAACAAGGAGGAGGCAGUGGGAGCAACAGCUGGGGAAAACCUGAAGCUGAAGAAUGGAACACAAGAGUAGGUUCUAAUCCAGAACCGGGUCCAGGUAGACAAGGGUUUGAUAUCGGAACUUGGGAGAAUCCAGCUGGAGGAGGAGGAGAAGAAGGAGGAUCUGAGCAUAGUAGUGGAGACCGGAAACCAACCUCCUGGUCAACUAAUGAUGGUACAAGCUCCUGGUCUACAGGUGAUGAUACCCAGUGGGGCACACAGAUGCAAAGGGAUCGGGGGCAAGGAUCUGACCGCAGUGGGGGAGAACAAACUGUUGAUAUUGGACAUUGGGGGGCACGGGAGUCAUCUGUCGCCCCUGAGAAAGAACAGUGGGGUACAAGGGAAACUUAUGCUACAAACGACAAGGGACAAUGGGGGGCUGGUGAUAUCACCGCUGCCCCUGACAAAGGACAGUGGGGCAUGGGUGAAACCUCAUCUGCUCCUGAGUUGGGGAAAUGGGGGAUGGGAGAAACUCCAACUGCACCUGACAAGACUCAAUGGGGACAAUCUGACAUCCCUGAUGUAGGAAACUGGGGGACGGGAGGAACUUCAGGUGCCCCUGAAAAAUCUCAAUGGAGAUCUACCGACACCUCUGAGAAGGUAGAUUGGAGGAAUGAGUCUGUAGACUCUGUCUCUCCAGGAUGGAAGAAGGAACCUGUAAGCAUGGGAAACUGGGCGGAUGAGGUUCCAAGCCCUAGAAGUGACCAGGAGGAAAACCCAAAUACCUCCUACGACGCUAGGAAAAUUGUCUGGUAGAAUUUGACAUAGGGCGUUUUUACAGUUUAAACCCCUGCAUAAAUAUUACACUCUGACAUAUCCCGCUAAUGAUGUUUAAUUGUUGAAUAUAAGAAAUGGAUAAAUUCUUACAAAUCCUGAAUUCAGGAAACGUAAACUUGUUAUUUUAAAUAGCUUAACCAAGAACAAUAACUACUCUUAAUUUUUUUUAGCCAUUUACAUUUUCUGCAUUACACUGUCGUUCUUGUUAUAUCAUAUUCUGACUUUACACCUAUAGUACAGUUUACUGCCUGUAUAAAAAAGAUCUGAAACCUCGAUAAAAUGAUUGUGUUAGACCAGUGUAAGGUCCUCGUUUAGUCGUAUUUGUAUCAUUGCUGUUACUGUUAUACUAUCGUUUUUCACCCUUUAGUCAAAUGUUCUUGUAUUUUUUACAUAAUUAAUAUUGUCUUUUAUAUGCUUGUAAUCUUAACCCAUACACCAUAUUUAUAAUGUAAAUCAUUACUGCAAAUUUAGUAAUUUUAUCCAACUAAGAAGUAUCUCCAAAAUUAGGUUUUAGGAGUGUAUGUUUUCGAGAAUUGAUCAAAUGAUUUACUUUAUUGGGUGAAAAUGAGAAAUCUUUUUAAAAUUGCAGACUUUUUUUCUUUUAGAUACACCAUCCAAAUUUGGUAGAACAAAUAUUUCCCGUGAAAGCCUACUCAAACAGUGGGUCGUAAACAGUAUUUUAAUGAGAGGGUGUUUAAUAAUGUUCAAAUAUAUUUCCCUGGUAGGGUAAUUUUCCGUUCCCCCCUAUUUCCCAAACCAAGGUACUCCCCCCCCCCCUUAUCUCCAAAGUGUGGUGGGUUGUCUUAAUUUAUUGCAAUAAUAUAAUGGAAUAUUUGUACUCAUGUAAGCUGAAUUUCUCUAAGAAUUUUCAUUCUCGCGUUAAUUUUGCUUCAUUUUUUAUCAUCAAAAUUUCAGCGUUUGUUCUAUGAUAUUGAAACUCACCUCCUUUCAUGCUACUCAAAUUUUUGAUGUCGUCUAUUUCAUUGACUUAAACCUCUAAAUCUUUGAUUGUGAAAAAAAUGGUCAUCUUCAAAGUUUAGGGGAAAUUCAGCCAAAAUAUUAUUCUUUAACGGCUUUGUUCAUAUUAUUGUUGCGGGCCCGACUUCAACUAUUUGAUGUUUCUUAUUUUCAAUUCUACCCGUGUGUGUUUGUUAAAGUAGUUGAUGUGGUUUAUAUAUCAUGCAUAUUAUAUAUUAACAAUUGAAACUAUCGCGCAAUUUUAGAUAAUUACCAUUUAGCAUUUAUAAUUUGAAUUUGCACUCUUUCUCAAGACAUUUGCCUUAUACAUACAUUUUACGAUUGAUUUUGCUCAAAUAUCCAAAGAAAGCAAUUAAGGGCAUUUUAUAAUUCGCUUUACCCUUUUUAUUUGUUCUUGUUCUAUUUAACUUUUUAGUUUUUACUUUUACUUCAUUUUUUAACGUAAUUUUUGGCCGUAUUUACAUGGUUAAAUAGUCGAUUGAUUUUAAGAUCUCCCUUGAAUUUUAUUAAAUUAUGAUCAAUUAGUUACUACCUUUGAUUGAUUAUUGGUGUAUUAGACAAUUGAAUCAUUUAUUGGAAUAAAUCGUACAUCAAUUAAUCAAAUAAGCUUAUUAAUUGGUCCUGAUCAAUUAGGUGCUUAAAAAAAAGAAAUCAACGAAUAUAACCAUAUGCUUAAUCUUAAUCAAUUUACGAUUUUUUAAUCUUGUUGAAUUCCUGCUUGAAGAAAUCAAAACUAAUCAAUUAUUAUCGUAUUUUGUAAAUGUGUAGAGUGUCGAUUGAUAAACCUAACCUGUACCAUCUAUAGUCGUACAUUGUUUGCUGUAUUUGUGCCAGGCAACAUUUUUGAUCUGUUUUUAAAAUGGACUUUAAACGUGUUUUCAAUUGACCUCCACGUAAUGUCAGAUUUACAACGGAGAGACUAUUUGCUUUGUAACAUCAUCAAAUACACUUGAUUAUUGCUUAAA
This 4527-nucleotide unclassified non-coding RNA is filed under the name Eurytemora carolleeae. RNAcentral's name for it is "uncharacterized LOC111715996". The record is from RNAcentral. Lineage: Eukaryota; Metazoa; Arthropoda; Copepoda; Calanoida; Temoridae.